Molecule: small nuclear RNA, 19 nt
Filed under: Arabidopsis thaliana (thale cress)
Lineage: Eukaryota; Viridiplantae; Streptophyta; Magnoliopsida; Brassicales; Brassicaceae
Description: snRNA_09412
Source: RNAcentral
CAACCAAGCGCGGGUAAAC